Molecule: long non-coding RNA, 310 nt
Filed under: Daucus carota (carrot)
Lineage: Eukaryota; Viridiplantae; Streptophyta; Magnoliopsida; Apiales; Apiaceae
Description: long non-coding RNA (DCAR_LNC002670)
Source: RNAcentral
GGAUUGGAACUCUAAAGGAUGAAGCUUGUGAUUUUUCAGACAUGAUUGUGUUUAAGAUCUCACUGUAGUAAUCUUAACAGAGCUGGCUCUGAUACCACUUGUUAGGUCCUAUAUUUUCACUAUAUAGAAUGAUAUAGUGAUCACAAUCUGUAACACAGUAAGACAAUAUAAGAGAUCGAAAGCAGUAAACUCUUAUAUUCACAAAGCUUUAAUAGUUACAAAAACUCUCUCAGUGAUUUAUAUUGUAUCACUAAGAGCUGCUAGGGUUCUUAACAAUGUACUCGAUAACUCAACUCAUAUAGAGUAACCC